UAGGGAAUCUUCGGCAAUGGGGGGAACCCUGACCGAGCAACGCCGCGUGAGUGAAGAAGGUUUUCGGAUCGUAAAGCUCUGUUGUUAAGGAAGAACGAGUGUGAGAAUGGAAAGUUCAUACUGUGACGGUACUUAACCAGAAAGGGACGGCUAACUACGUGCCAGCAGCCGCGGUAAUACGUAGGUCCCGAGCGUUGUCCGGAUUUAUUGGGCGUAAAGCGAGCGCAGGCGGUCAAUUAAGUCUGAUGUGAAAGCCCCCGACUCAACCGGGGAGGGUCAUUGGAAACUGGUUGACUUGAGUGCAGAAGAGGAGAGUGGAAUUCCAUGUGUAGCGGUGAAAUGCGUAGAUAUAUGGAGGAACACCAGUGGCGAAGGCGACUCUCUGGUCUGUAACUGACGCUGAGGUUCGAAAGCGUGGGUAGCAAACAGG
This 430-nucleotide ribosomal RNA is filed under the name Bacteroidota bacterium. RNAcentral's name for it is "Bacteroidetes bacterium partial 16S ribosomal RNA". It matches the Rfam family "Bacterial small subunit ribosomal RNA", at positions 355 to 776 of the family's 1533-position model. Lineage: Bacteria; Pseudomonadati; Bacteroidota. The record is from RNAcentral.